UACAGAGGGGGCAAGCGUUGUUCGGAAUUACUGGGCGUAAAGGGCGCGUAGGCGGCCUGCUAAGUCGAACGUGAAAUCCCUGGGCUCAACCCAGGAACUGCGUCCGAUACUGGUUGGCUUGAAUCCGGGAGAGGGAUGUGGAAUUCCAGGUGUAGCGGUGAAAUGCGUAGAUAUCUGGAGGAACACCGGUGGCGAAGGCGACAUCCUGGACCAUUACUGACACUGAAAAGCGAAAGCCAGGGGAGCAAACGGG
Molecule: ribosomal RNA, 253 nt
Filed under: uncultured bacterium
Lineage: Bacteria
Description: partial 16S ribosomal RNA
Rfam family: Bacterial small subunit ribosomal RNA
Source: RNAcentral